CGAAACACAAAACAUGCAAGGAUUGUUUGAUGCGCCUACCUUUCACCUGCUCACACAAGACACCGAAUUAGGUGAUGAUGUCGAUGAUACGCAUGACAAAAAUCAAGAAGGGAAGGGAACGGCUGAAAAUGAUAUCACACGUAAUGCUUGGAUAAAGGAACUUGAAUCAAGACGAAGAAAACCAGUUGGUAGGUUCAACCGCUCAUGUGAUGACCAUGAACAC
Long non-coding RNA from Helianthus annuus (common sunflower), 223 nucleotides. RefSeq lists it as uncharacterized. The record is from RefSeq and is a predicted model, not a curated record. The transcript has 3 exons. Lineage: Eukaryota; Viridiplantae; Streptophyta; Magnoliopsida; Asterales; Asteraceae.